CAGCUCUUGACAUGUCUCGUAUGGGCCGGAGAGAUCCGGUUCUUCAGUUCGGCUGGCGGGAACACAGGUGCUGCAUGGCUGUCGUCAGCUCGUGUCGUGAGAUGUUGGGUUAAGUCCCGCAACGAGCGCAACCCUCAUCCUCAGUUGCCAUCAGGUUAAGCUGGGCACUCUGAGGAAACUGCCGGUGACAAGCCGGAGGAAGGCGGGGAUAACGUCAAGUCCUCAUGGCCUUUAUGGGCUGGGCUACACACGUGCUACAAUGGCGGUGACAGAGGGCGGCGAGGCAGCGAUGCCAAGCCAAUCUCAAAAAGCCGUCUCAGUUCGGAUUGCACUCUGCAACUCGGGUGCAUGAAGUCGGAAUCGCUAGUAAUCGCGGAUCAGCAUGCCGCGGUGAAUACGUUCCC
This 404-nucleotide ribosomal RNA is filed under the name uncultured Alphaproteobacteria bacterium. Its description in RNAcentral is "bacterial SSU rRNA". It matches the Rfam family "Bacterial small subunit ribosomal RNA", at positions 975 to 1375 of the family's 1533-position model. Lineage: Bacteria; Pseudomonadati; Pseudomonadota; Alphaproteobacteria. The record is from RNAcentral.